GCCUGCUUGGCUCAGGGGCAGAGCGUCUGUCUCGUAAACAGAAGGUCGCAAGUUCAAUUCUUGCAGUAGGCA
Molecule: transfer RNA, 72 nt
Filed under: Coemansia sp. Cherry 401B
Lineage: Eukaryota; Fungi; Kickxellomycota; Kickxellomycetes; Kickxellales; Kickxellaceae
Also listed under: 7 other names
Description: tRNA-Thr
Rfam family: tRNA
About the family: Transfer RNA (tRNA) molecules are approximately 80 nucleotides in length.
Source: RNAcentral